GACUGUACGAAGGUAGCAUAAUCAUUAGUUUUUUAAUUGAGGACUGGUAUGAAAGGUUAGAUGAGAAGUAUACUUUCUUUACUUUUAUUUAAAAAAUUUAAUUUAUAAGUUAAAAAGCUUAUAUAAUUUUAUAAGACGAGAAGACCCUAUAGAACUUUACAUAAUUUUUAUAUUUUAUUGUUUUGUUUUUAUAUUUUUAAGAUAUAAUUUAUAUGUUUUGUUGGGGUGACAAAAAAAAAUUAAACUUUUUUUAUUUUUAUACAUUUGUUUAUGUAAAAUUGAUCCAUUUGUUUAUGAUUAAAAGAUUAAGUUACCUUAGGGAUAACAGCGUUAUUAUUUUGGAGAGUUCAUAUUGAUGAAAUAGUUUGCGACCUCGAUGUUGGAUUAAAAUGAUGAAUGGGGGUAGUAUUUCAUUUAGAUAGGUCUGUUCGACCUUUAAAUUUUUACA
This 448-nucleotide ribosomal RNA is filed under the name Ernestinus sp. 20020d-3. RNAcentral describes it as "partial large subunit ribosomal RNA". The stretch from base 321 to 448 matches the Rfam family "Bacterial large subunit ribosomal RNA", at positions 2473 to 2600 of the family's 2925-position model. The record is from RNAcentral. Lineage: Eukaryota; Metazoa; Arthropoda; Insecta; Hemiptera; Miridae.